AUACAGCUAACGAAUCCGAAAUAGAAUGAAACACGUGUCCUGUAU
Schistosoma margrebowiei is the source of this 45-nucleotide non-coding RNA. Lineage: Eukaryota; Metazoa; Platyhelminthes; Trematoda; Strigeidida; Schistosomatidae. The record is from Rfam.